GCCCGGGUGGUGGAACCGGUAGACACAGGGGACUUAAAAUCCCCAGGGGUAACACCCCGUGCGGGUUCGAGUCCCGCCCUGGGCACCA
RNAcentral lists this transfer RNA (88 nucleotides) under Pseudomonadota bacterium. RNAcentral's name for it is "Proteobacteria bacterium (groundwater metagenome) tRNA-Leu". It matches the Rfam family "tRNA". From Rfam's summary of the family: Transfer RNA (tRNA) molecules are approximately 80 nucleotides in length. Their secondary structure includes four short double-helical elements and three loops (D, anti-codon, and T loops). Further hydrogen bonds mediate the characteristic L-shaped molecular structure. tRNAs have two regions of fundamental functional importance: the anti-codon, which is responsible for specific mRNA codon recognition, and the 3' end, to which the tRNAs corresponding amino acid is attached (by aminoacyl-tRNA synthetases). tRNAs cope with the degeneracy of the genetic code in two manners: having more than one tRNA (with a specific anti-codon) for a particular amino acid; and 'wobble' base-pairing, i.e. permitting non-standard base-pairing at the 3rd anti-codon position. The record is from RNAcentral. RNAcentral also lists the same sequence under 1 other name. Lineage: Bacteria; Pseudomonadati; Pseudomonadota.